GAAGCAGACAGAAAAACACAGAAGCAGUUGAUGGCUCAUGCCAAACGGUCGUUUUAUUGUUUUAUUUUUUGCUCAUUUUAUCUACAGUCAUCGGUACAGCCAUGUCUGCCACGCGUCUGACAUCCGGGAGCCAACAAAAUCUCAACGUGUCGGUUACUUCCAGUGCUUCUACAAAAGACGGUGAGACGACGGCACCGCCUCAUUUGUCGAGUCAAAACAUUCGAAGUGUCGAUCGUAAUUCACCUCGGGUGCCAUCGUUUCUGUUCGCCCGCCAACAAGGUACCCAGGUGAGUAGCUGAUCUUGUCCCAGUGCGAUGGAACAUAUUCCCGACUCUGACGACAUGCGCCAUUUGGUGUGACAGAGUCGGGAGUGUUGAGAUCGUGGAUUUUAAUUUCCCCAUCCAUGGAUCCGCUGAUGAUGGAAUCACCUGGAACAUCGCAGUAGUCCUUCAUCUCCCCAGUAACAUUCUAAACAGGUUGAUUGCAUGUCGUUCAGAAACAAAUAUGCAGUUGGCUCAGCAUCUUUUGUCGCCCAUGUCACAUCGUGCCGGAUGUCAUUACUACUCUGAGCAACAGGACAGCCCCUGACAAAGCACGCCAAUUCUCAAGUUUGGCAAUAAAGUUGUGAAAGCAAAACCUAUGGCCUCUUCUGCUUGUGGUAACCAGAGCAUUCACUGGGCUCCAUCAGACGAUUUCCUGGUGGCCUUAAGAGAUGGAGUUUUAUUGGAACUUUUAUUAUCGAGUCAACGAGGACUACAAGAAAAUUGAGAUUUGGAACAACGACUUCGACAUGGGAGACCCCGGAGACCCAUUCCGUCAUGUUAUCUGGAAUAGCACAGGUGAUUCCAUCAUCAGAGGAUCUAUGGGUGGUGAAAUGCAAAACUACGAUCUCAACACUCCCGACUCUGUCACAUCGAAUGGCGCAUGUCGUCAGAGUCGGGAAUAUAUUUCAUCGCAAUGGGACAAGAUCAUCUACUUACCUGUGCCGCCUCAACUGAAGGGUUCGGGGUUUACGACCUCCGCCAAACGGGUGGGUCCACUAAACCCACUUUAUCAUUGCAUCAGAAUCUCGCCGCUUAUAGCCUCUCCAACUCCUCAAUUAACGGUAAUUAAUAUUUUCAGAAACCCCCGGAGACGAAAAUCCCGUCAGAGUCAUGAACUGGUGUCCCUGGAAACCCAAUGUUCUUUUUACCAGCACAAGUUAUCCAGAGUCGAGCAUCCGCCUUCACAAUGCAACGACGGGUGGCUUGAUUGACGACUUUGAAUGCACAUCAGGAGUUUUGGGGAUCCAAUUCAACGUCGAGCUGGAACAAGUUGCCACUUCACAUAAUGAUUUUUCAAGAGCAGAUGCUACGAGACAUAUUCAUGGUGAAGAAAGCACCGUUCAGCUCUGGGAAUUUACUUCUAACAAAUUGAAUCCCAUCCAAUAAAUAAGCUAUCACAAACAAGGCAUCAUUAGCAUGGUUGCUUCCGUCAAUAGUCAAUUGCACACCUUGUGCAGUGAUGGCCAACUGUGUUUAUGGCACUGGAACGCAACAAACAAAUCCGCCCCUCGUUCAAAUGCAAACAAUGAGGCGGGGUUCCAGACUGGUCGUAGUCAAUUGGAUGCAUUUAUCGUUAUCCGCUAGUCAUAGAUUUUCAAUUCCCCAAAAAUAUUUUAAUGAAUUUCAAUAGUUUGAUUGGGUCCUGAUUGGGUCAUUUUUAAAAAGAUGUUUUAUUGUAAAUUAAAAAAAAAAAAAACACUGAG
This 1747-nucleotide long non-coding RNA is filed under the name Daphnia pulex (common water flea). RNAcentral's name for it is "uncharacterized LOC124203046, transcript variant X4". The record is from RNAcentral. Lineage: Eukaryota; Metazoa; Arthropoda; Branchiopoda; Diplostraca; Daphniidae.